RNAcentral lists this unclassified non-coding RNA (200 nucleotides) under Mortierella sp. RNAcentral describes it as "partial internal transcribed spacer 2". Lineage: Eukaryota; Fungi; Mortierellomycota; Mortierellomycetes; Mortierellales; Mortierellaceae. The record is from RNAcentral.
UUAAGUUCAGCGGGUAGUCUUACUUGAUUUGAGAUCGAGUUUAACAAGAAUCGUUGCCGACCCUUGUGAAAUCCUGCAUCAGUCAGCCAAAACGGCCAAACUCCCUUUACAUUAGCUGCAGCAAAAGUAAUAAUCCGUUUGACGGGACUAAAUAAAUAUGCUUUUAGCUCAGGAGAAUGUCCAGCUGCACCUGCAUUUCA